AUUCUAGGCUGACGAGUUCCAAAUAGGACGAAACACACGUCUUGGAU
This is a non-coding RNA of Schistosoma haematobium, 47 nucleotides long. NCBI's taxonomy places the organism in Eukaryota, Metazoa, Platyhelminthes, Trematoda, Strigeidida, Schistosomatidae. The record is from Rfam.